RNAcentral lists this ribosomal RNA (491 nucleotides) under uncultured bacterium. RNAcentral describes it as "partial 16S ribosomal RNA". It matches the Rfam family "Bacterial small subunit ribosomal RNA", at positions 29 to 506 of the family's 1533-position model. The record is from RNAcentral.
AGUGAACGCUGGCGGUAGGCCUAACACAUGCAAGUCGAACGGCAGCACAGUAAGAGCUUGCUCUUACGGGUGGCGAGUGGCGGACGGGUGAGGAAUACAUCGGAAUCUACUUUUUCGUGGGGGAUAACGUAGGGAAACUUACGCUAAUACCGCAUACGACCUACGGGUGAAAGCAGGGGAUCUUCGGACCUUGCGCGAUUGAAUGAGCCGAUGUCGGAUUAGCUAGUUGGCGGGGUAAAGGCCCACCAAGGCGACGCUCCGUAGCUGGUCUGAGAGGAUGAUCAGCCACACUGGAGCUGAGACACGGUCCAGACUCCUACGGGAGGCAGCAGUGGGGAAUAUUGGACAAUGGGCGCAAGCCUGAUCCAGCCAUACCGCGUGGGUGAAGAAGGCCUUCGGGUUGUAAAGCCCUUUUGUUGGGAAAGAAAAGCAGCAGGUUAAUACCCCGCUGUUCUGACGGUACCCAAAGAAUAAGCACCGGCUAACUUCGU